RNAcentral lists this ribosomal RNA (479 nucleotides) under Pseudomonas sp. 01WB03.3-58. RNAcentral's name for it is "bacterial SSU rRNA". It matches the Rfam family "Bacterial small subunit ribosomal RNA", at positions 1 to 484 of the family's 1533-position model. The record is from RNAcentral. Lineage: Bacteria; Pseudomonadati; Pseudomonadota; Gammaproteobacteria; Pseudomonadales; Pseudomonadaceae.
UGAGCUUGAUCCUGGCUCAGAUUGAACGCUGGCGGCAGGCCUAACACAUGCAAGUCGAGCGGUAGAGAGAAGCUUGCUUCUCUUGAGAGCGGCGGACGGGUGAGUAAUGCCUAGGAAUCUGCCUGGUAGUGGGGGAUAACGUUCGGAAACGGACGCUAAUACCGCAUACGUCCUACGGGAGAAAGCAGGGGACCUUCGGGCCUUGCGCUAUCAGAUGAGCCUAGGUCGGAUUAGCUAGUUGGUGGGGUAAUGGCUCACCAAGGCGACGAUCCGUAACUGGUCUGAGAGGAUGAUCAGUCACACUGGAACUGAGACACGGUCCAGACUCCUACGGGAGGCAGCAGUGGGGAAUAUUGGACAAUGGGCGAAAGCCUGAUCCAGCCAUGCCGCGUGUGUGAAGAAGGUCUUCGGAUUGUAAAGCACUUUAAGUUGGGAGGAAGGGCUGUAGAUUAAUACUCUGCAAUUUGACGUACCGACAG